AGACAAAACGUAAAAGACAAACACAUUCUAAGUAGUGCUGCUAGAUCACUGUAUUAGUCCUUCCCGUGCUGCUAUGAAGAAAUACCCGAGACUGGGUAAUUUGUAAAGGAAUUUAUGGUAUUUAGGCUUCUUAGGUCUUCUGACAAAGGACAGAUUAAAGACCUUGGAAAAUAGGCAGAAGGAUUUCGAAUUCAUGCAGAAGAUGGUGGAAAUUCUAGGACAGAAAAAUGAUCAAUUUGGAAGAUUGAGAAUGAGAACAGAUAAAGAAAACCUGAAGGAAAGGCACCAGUGCCUGGAACAUAUACUUGAUGUGGAUAGAAGCCAUCCAGAGCCCAUUUGUCAAGUGAAGUAAAAACUUUUGUAUACAAACAGGGUUCAAACUGGACACAAAUAGGCAGUUCUUGUAAAUAAUAAAAGUAAC
This 421-nucleotide long non-coding RNA is filed under the name Pan paniscus (pygmy chimpanzee). RNAcentral's name for it is "lncRNA (ENSPPAG00000044528.1)". The record is from RNAcentral. Lineage: Eukaryota; Metazoa; Chordata; Mammalia; Primates; Hominidae.